GGACCCGCACAAGCGGUGGAUUAUGUGGAUUAAUUCGAUGCAACGCGAAAAACCUUACCUACCCUUGACAUGUCCCGAAGCCCGGUGAGAGCUGGGUGUGCCCGAAAGGGAACGGGAACACAGGUGCUGCAUGGCUGUCGUCAGCUCGUGUCGUGAGAUGUUGGGUUAAGUCCCGCAACGAGCGCAACCCUUGUCAUUAGUUGCUACAUUCAGUUGGGCACUCUAAUGAGACUGCCGGUGACAAACCGGAGGAAGGUGGGGAUGACGUCAAGUCCUCAUGGCCCUUAUGGGUAGGGCUUCACACGUAAUACAAUGGCGCGUACAGAGGGUUGCCAAGGAGCGAUCUGGAGCCAAUCCCGCAAAGCGCGUCGUAGUCCGGAUAGGAGUCUGCAACUCGACUCCUUGAAGUCGGAAUCGCUAGUAAUCGCGGAUCAGCAUGUCGCGGUGAAUACGUUCCCGGGUCUU
Molecule: ribosomal RNA, 465 nt
Filed under: uncultured bacterium
Lineage: Bacteria
Description: bacterial SSU rRNA
Rfam family: Bacterial small subunit ribosomal RNA
Source: RNAcentral